GUCCCAAUAGUUUAAAUAAUAAAUAAUGGUCUUGUAAACCAAAGAUAAACACUUGUUUUUGGGCCC
This 66-nucleotide transfer RNA is filed under the name Engaewa subcoerulea. RNAcentral describes it as "tRNA-Thr". The record is from RNAcentral. Lineage: Eukaryota; Metazoa; Arthropoda; Malacostraca; Decapoda; Parastacidae.